UACGUAGGUGGCGAGCGUUGUCCGGAAUUACUGGGUGUAAAGGGCGUGUAGGCGGGUAGAUAAGUCAGAUGUGAAAUACCGGGGCUCAACCCCGGGGCUGCAUUUGAAACUGUCAAUCUUGAGUGCCGGAGAGGAAAGCGGAAUUCCUAGUGUAGCGGUGAAAUGCGUAGAUAUUAGGAGGAACACCAGUGGCGAAGGCGGCUUUCUGGACGGUAACUGACGCUGAGGCGCGAAAGCGUGGGGAGCAAACAGG
Molecule: ribosomal RNA, 253 nt
Filed under: uncultured bacterium
Lineage: Bacteria
Description: partial 16S ribosomal RNA
Rfam family: Bacterial small subunit ribosomal RNA
Source: RNAcentral